AUAACCUUGGGAGAUUUCACAACCACCGUUCCGGAUGGCAUCCCAUAUUGAAAGAUCAACUGAAUGAGUCAAAACACAAGGCAUUUGUCCUCUGUCAGACAACAAAGGUGGGCAAUGUGGUGAGAUGAUCUCCAUGACAGAAUCUCUUACUUCCCCUUUCAGUAACUCAACUGCACACUAGCACCAAAUGAUUAGGCAAAUAUCUUUCUUAUGUAACUGAUAAGAGUGCAUGUUACAGCUUUGAAGAGAAGUUUUAAUGGCACGCAUGAGGCAACAGCAGCGAACAGAGAGGCU
This is a long non-coding RNA of Sorex araneus (European shrew), 294 nucleotides long. RefSeq lists it as uncharacterized. NCBI's taxonomy places the organism in Eukaryota, Metazoa, Chordata, Mammalia, Eulipotyphla, Soricidae. The transcript is spliced from 3 exons. The record is from RefSeq and is a predicted model, not a curated record.